CAGACACCUGGGGCUUCGGUCUCCCAGUCUGGUUGUCACUGGUCCCCGAGGCCCCUCACUGCUCAGAGCUGACUCCACACCGGCAGCCCCCAGCUGUUCCCCCCCGCUCUCCUGGGGAGGUGACCCCACACCACCUUCCCGCUUCCCAUAAUCAAUCAGGCGCCCAUGGGGGCAGCUGGGGUCUCUGCCCUCCACCUCCAGGGACCUCAGCCUUGACGUCCAUCGGUGGUUCCAGCCGGGCAGCCCUGUGCACCAGAUGGCCCACACUGCCCGGGCACGGUCUGCCACCGUGAUGAUGGAUGUCCCGUCCAGGGGGACUGUGAGCUGGGCAGCCGGGAGGGGCUGCUCUGCCUGGCUGACCGCGUGCUCUUGCUGUGUGGCAGGGACCUGCUGUGACCUGCGGGAGCAUCUCUGCACCCCCCACAAC
RNAcentral lists this long non-coding RNA (427 nucleotides) under Marmota monax (woodchuck). Lineage: Eukaryota; Metazoa; Chordata; Mammalia; Rodentia; Sciuridae. The record is from RNAcentral.